Betta splendens (Siamese fighting fish) is the source of this 3381-nucleotide long non-coding RNA. RefSeq lists it as uncharacterized. The record is from RefSeq and is a predicted model, not a curated record. NCBI's taxonomy places the organism in Eukaryota, Metazoa, Chordata, Actinopteri, Anabantiformes, Osphronemidae. The transcript has 2 exons.
GACACCGCACAGACACACACACACACACGCUCACACUUGAUACAUGCUCAAGUGAUUCAAAUUCAUGCUUGCCUGCUUGCAAUGAAGACUUGCUUUCUGCUUAAAACAUCCCACAGAGUGAUUUUGAAUAGUGAAAAAGAAUAACAAACAGCUAAAUGACAACAGCUGCAUGACCCCACAUCCAAAUGGUUUCAAACAAUUUCCUGAGUUUGCUCUGACGGUUCAAGGUGAAUGUAUGGUGUUUUUAGUAGACUCAGGAGCAACAAAUUCGGUAAUAAAAUCUUUCAUGUUUUCCAAUCCACUUAAAAUGAGUGGACAAUUUGUGCACACUAUAGUCUGGCCAGACAAUAAAAGAAAAACUUACUGUGCCUCUGUCUUGCACAACAUCAGACGGCAAGACACUCAAACAUUAAUUUUUGCUUUCAAACUUAUGCCCAGUUAAUCUAUUAGGAAGAGAUCUCAUGUGUAUUUUGGGUAUUUCACUGAUUUCCACUCCGGAGGGAGUGCAGGUUACAACCACAGACAAUGUAAAUAAUUUUUCUUUUGUUUGUGUUAAUUUCAGCUCAGAGCCGCUGCUCUACUCUUAUCAGUGGCUGCUGAAGGGAGAGGCUGUAACUGAGGCCCUCAUACAGGCUGCUCGACAGCUGGUUUCCCCACAAAAUACGACCUUUAGAGAUGCAUCUGACCUGUAUUGUACAGUACAUGUGUCCACUGGUCCUGAUGAGAAGUUUGAAAAAUCAUGGUUACGCACACAUGCUGACAAACUGACCUCAACCUCUCUAUUCUGGGAUGAACAUAUUUCUGUGCUUGCGAUUUCUCUCACUAACAAACAAGAGAGAUUUGUUGAUGCUUAUUCUACAGAUCCACAUGUCCUUCUGUCAAAACAUGACGGAGACAGAUGGCAGGACUUGGGUCCUUUCGUGGACAGAUGUCAACUGGGAGGAGACUGGCAAACGACUUCGGACCUGAAUGUGAAAGCAGCUCUGCCCAAACUGGCGACAGAUCCGUUGCACAUCAUCCAACCAGGAAACUGGGUGAUCAUUAAGGAGCUUUGCAGGAAACACUGGAACUUAAAACGGUGGCAAGGUCCCUUCCAAGUCCUUCUGACGACCAACAGGGCUGUGAAGAUCGCAGAAAGAGCGACUUGGAUCCACUCCAGCCACUGCAGAAAAGUCCCGGAUCCCACAAACGACCCACCAUCAUCAGUACAUCCUACGGAGAAAACCACCACUAACGAAAAGAACUGAGAAGGAUGACCCUCGCUGUGCUCACACACACACGCACUGAGCUAAAGGUGUGAGCCAAGCGCCACCUGAAGCUGCGCCUGUGAAUCACACUGUCUGACCAUAAAUCUACACACAAGCUCCUGAGAAAACAUACACACAAGCAGCCUUGAGUUGCUGAUGCUGGUUGACGUGUAGACUCUGGAGACGACAUUGGGAGGAAACCUGGCGGUGAUAACAAAUCCCAAGUGUCUCUGUGAUCAGCUGAUCACAACCUGAAGGACUCCAACGAACUGUCAAUGUGUCAACAAACAGGUUGGAAACAAUCUAUCGCUACUGUUAAACAGGAAGAAGACAUUGAUUGGGACCCUGUUGUUUUGAUCUUCACUGUAUGUUACUUUGAUAUUUGCUCUAAAUUGUGUGGUUGAUUUACACAAGAUAAAAAUGAUUGUCAUAUCAACCAUUGCGGUGGCAUGUGUGGCCCUCCUGCACUUCUGGAGGACUCACACAUUUGUUCACUAUAGACCCAAGCGCGACAUUAAGGAGCCUAAAGCAUGCCAGCUUGCCCAAAACGAUGUAAAUCAGAACCCCACAGGAAAUAUAUGGUUAGCGUACAUCAAGUACACUUCUAAGACCCUCACAAACAAUUCAUGCGUGGCGUGUGCUGUCGCCAGACGCGAUCUCAUGGCUGUGCCCACUCCUUUUAACAGCAGCGAGUGCUAUAAUGAACGACAACUGCGGAAUAGGGAGACCGGGUGUAGAUACACUGCGGACUUCAGCGUUCCGAGAUGUGCAGAAUGCGCGCCUUGCACAAUCUGGGCAGGGGUAUGGAGAUGUAUAGUCCUGUCACACAUAAGAAAGUUGAGGCGGCCGACAACCCGCUGCCUGUACUCAGGUAAUGUUCCUCACAGGGGGAAUACAUCUUUUACCCUCAGCUCCACAGAAACACUCACGGACCAGGUGCAGUGCCCCAGGUGGUUCCUUUGAUCCUGACCUUUACAUAGACGCAAUAGGCGUACCACGAGGAGUGCCGGAAGAGUUUAAGGCUCGCAACGAGCAGGUGGCGGGAUGGACGAGUGCUUUACCUUUCAUGGGCCCCAUAAUAGAGGUUAAUAUGAAUUUUGCCUGGAUCAACUAUCUUUAUUACAAUCAACAGCGUUUCAUCAAAAAAACUGCGGGCGGUAUGAAGCUAGACCAAACGUUUGGAAAAUGGAAAUCAGUUUUUAUGUCAGCAAUAGUCUCGCUUAUCAUUUUCAUGUCCAUGAUCAUGUUGCUUGGUUGUUGUGUUAUUCCGCUGAUUAGGGGUCUCAUAAUGCGUGCAACAUCAGCGGCGCUUUCAUACCAAAUGACACAAUGCACUACAUUCAGGAAUCCGGACACCGAUUCACUCAUUGAUUCUAAUGCCGACUCUGUAGAUGAUGAUGUUGACAUUAAUAACGAGGACUACAAAAAUGACUCAGAUAAUGAUGAUAGUCACGCGGAGGCUGACUCCACAAUAGUAUAAUCACCAUAUAAUCCUCUUCCCAUUUUUCUGCUUGACUGAACAAGAUCUGAUUGGAAUAAAAUAUUGGCUUGUUUCCCUUUCUUUUCAGACACUCACACACAGGGUUAUUCUAGUAUAACUACUAUAAGCAAUACACUUAACAAAUCAUUUUUAAGAAUCCUUUAUUACUACAGAAUGAAUGCCACGAUUGACAAUUUUUAUUCUUUUAAUGUUUAACUAAUGUGUAAUUAAAAGGGGGAUUGUAAUGGAAAAAAAAUUACUUUUAUGCUUCUUGUGUUUUUUUUUCCUUCUGUAUAGCAACCAUGUGCUCUGUACUUGAUUAGACUCAGCAAUGAACAUUCUUAGACAAACAAUCUAUCUCCCUCUCAAGGUUCUGUCACACAUUAAGUGCUGACAUCUAAUGUUGUAUUUGACUGACCGAUUGUUUAUGGUCUCUGUCUGCCUUUUACCCCUGGUCUAUGGCUCCUUCCUAUCUGACCCAAGGCUGUAAACCUAGUGCGUCUUGUCUUUGAAGCUCGGUGUCCCUUUCCUUCUGAUAGCAUGGCACCCAGGAUGCAGGAGCGAGAAUGUAAACAUCUUCACCCACAGUGUGAUUUGCUUUCCUCAUUAUUUGUCAUUUUCUUUAUUAUUUCAAUAAAUCGCACAAAAGGACAA